GGUGGUCUCAAAAAGGCCUCGGGGUUGCUACGGACCACCACCCAGGAGCUGGAGAAGGAAGAGGGUCUGGAGACCUUGCAGGCGGUGGAGCGCCAGGUCAGCCGGCACCGGCAGCUCAUGCAAGAGGUUCUGCGCGACGCCCAGCUGGUCAGCCUGCAGCGGGAAGGAGGGGCCACCCUGGCCAGGCUGCGGAAGGAGGCCGCCCGGCUCGGCUUCACUCCUGACGUCCGGCACAGUUUCGAGGGCGCCCUGGCCGUCUACAACCUGGUGGAAGAGGACAUCCACACGCUGGUGACCAAAUCCAACGGUUGCUUGGAGCACUUGGAGUUCCUCAAGAAGAU
Molecule: non-coding RNA, 341 nt
Organism: Thamnophis sirtalis
Lineage: Eukaryota; Metazoa; Chordata; Lepidosauria; Squamata; Natricidae
Source: RefSeq, a predicted model, not a curated record